AGCGGCGGACGGGUGAGUAAUGCUUGGGAAUCUACCUAGUAGUGGGGGAUAACGUGUGGAAACGCACGCUAAUACCGCAUACGUCCUACGGGAGAAAGCAGGGGAUCUUCGGACCUUGCGCUAUUAGAUGAGCCCAAGUCGGAUUAGCUAGUUGGUGGGGUAAUGGCUCACCAAGGCUACGAUCCGUAGCUGGUCUGAGAGGAUGAUCAGCCACACUGGGACUGAGACACGGCCCAGACUCCUACGGGAGGCAGCAGUGGGGAAUAUUGCACAAUGGGCGAAAGCCUGAUGCAGCCAUGCCGCGUGUGUGAAGAAGGCUCUAGGGUUGUAAAGCACUUUCAGUAGGGAGGAACAGCUUAAGACUAAUACUCUUGAGCCUUGACGUUACCUACAGAAGAAGCACCGGCAAACUCCGUGCCAGCAGCCGCGGUAAUACGGAGGGUGCGAGCGUUAAUCGGAAUUACUGGGCGUAAAGCGCGCGUANGUGGUUUGAUAAGCUAGCUGUGAAAGCCCCGGGCUCAACCUGGGAACUGCAGUUAGAACUGUCUGGCUAGAGUACAGUAGAGGGUGGCGGAAUUUCCUGUG
This 585-nucleotide ribosomal RNA is filed under the name uncultured bacterium. RNAcentral describes it as "bacterial SSU rRNA". It matches the Rfam family "Bacterial small subunit ribosomal RNA", at positions 94 to 675 of the family's 1533-position model. The record is from RNAcentral.